Molecule: long non-coding RNA, 205 nt
Filed under: Lathyrus oleraceus (garden pea)
Lineage: Eukaryota; Viridiplantae; Streptophyta; Magnoliopsida; Fabales; Fabaceae
Description: Pisum sativum (pea) long non-coding RNA (PSAT_LNC005991)
Source: RNAcentral
GUUAGGGAGAGUUAAUGGAUCAACCACAACCAUAUACAGAGGUCUCUCACAAGCAUACAACAUCUUCAAUUCCAAAUCUCUCUUCUUCACCCAAGUAGUGUAAGCUUCCAGAGCUACACAGUUGCACGGACCAAGCUCGGAUCUUCCUUUCCUAUGCACAUCAUGCCAAGCUUGUAUCAUCUUCAGCUUCAAAUGUUGGGGAUCU